AGAUAAUUCAUUAUGUGAUGACUUGGGAUGAUAUUGUAACAAUUUAUCCCAAAAAUCAUAUCAGAGCUAUCAAUUUGCUCCUAAGCAUAAAAGUUUACAUCCAGACUUAUAUCCUCAAGAAGAUUUUGGAAAGAUCUCCCUUGAAAAGAGACUUGGAUUUGGCAAGAGGGGACAACAUUGCCAAGAGGGGUGUUUUUAACAUUGUGAGAGAUAACGUUUAAAACAUACUGAAAUGGCUAAAGAUAAUCAAAGUUAAAGGUGAAUGUGUGCAAAGAAUGUGUUGUAAAAGUGAAAUAACAG
Molecule: long non-coding RNA, 300 nt
Filed under: Androctonus crassicauda
Lineage: Eukaryota; Metazoa; Arthropoda; Arachnida; Scorpiones; Buthidae
Source: RNAcentral